AUACGUAGGGGGCGAGCGUUGUCCGGAAUGACUGGGCGUAAAGGGCGUGUAGGCGGUUUUUUAAGUCUGGAGUGAAAGUCCUGCAUUCAAUGUGGGAAUUGCUUUGGAUACUGGAGGACUUGAGUGCGGAAGAGGUAAGUGGAAUUCCCAGUGUAGCGGUGAAAUGCGUAGAGAUUGGGAGGAACACCAGUGGCGAAGGCGACUUACUGGGCCGUAACUGACGCUGAGGCGCGAAAGCGUGGGGAGCGAACAGGAUUAGAUACCCUGGUAGUCCACGCGGUAAACGAUGAAUGCUAGGUGUUGCGGGUAUCGACCCCUGCAGUGCCGGAGUAAACACAAUAAGCAUUCCGCCUGGGGAGUACGGCCGCAAGGUUGAAACUCAAAUGAAUUGACGGGG
Molecule: ribosomal RNA, 397 nt
Filed under: uncultured bacterium
Lineage: Bacteria
Description: partial 16S ribosomal RNA
Rfam family: Bacterial small subunit ribosomal RNA
Source: RNAcentral